UGUGGCUCCGCCCAGCCCCACCCGCCGUCGACCCGGGUGGUGGAGCCUCGUCCCGGGGGCGUCUCCGUGGGCUAGAGGCGGAUCGCGGCGGCUUGCGCUCGGGAUCCCUGUUAAAUCCCCUUGGAGGGACGUCCGAGAUGAAAGCUUAGGAUCAGUUUAACCGGAGUGAAAGUUAAAAAAGAAGAAGAAAAGAAAAUAAGAAAGACAAGAGGGAGAGGGUAUAGUGAGUCUUGCCACCCUUGGCCCGCCCCAGGAUUUGUAGAUGAGCUUUCCAGGAGCUCUGUGCAUGGAGACAGCAGCAUGCAGAUCCACUUUGGAACAGAAUCAACUAACUAAGAGGUUCUCAAAAUAUGGCUCCAGAGAAGGACCAGCAUCAUCACUGGCGUCAUUUGGGAACUUGUUAGAAAAUGAAAAUUCUCAGGUCCAAUCCACAGACUUACUAAAUCAGAAACAAUGGAGGCAUGGCCAAGCAACCUGUGUUUUAACAAGGUCUCCAGCUAAUUCUGAUGCAAGCUAAAAUUGGAGAACCAUUGACCUAACCUAACAAUGAUCAAUUAUCAUUUUUCCAUCCUUGGAGAAAUAGUUAUAUGCUAUAUUAACAAUGACAAUAGAAACAGCAGCAACAAACUACCACAACUACUCCCACAUAUGAAAUACCCAUUGUAUGCCAAGCACUGUACUCAGUGUAAAUGUGUUUGUGUGUAAUCUCAUUUAAACUUCAUGACAAUCUAGAAGCAAACAUUUUAAUUUAAAAGGGAACUUGCACAAGUAAAAACAUAAAUAGCAGAAACAGGAGUUAAAUCUAUGAAUCAAAAACUAUGGCUUUCUAUUACACUAUACUUCUUAAAGAACAUGUAACAUACACCAUGUCUCGUACUAUUUGUAAUGAAUGUAAUUAUUUCUAUUUAACUAAAAGGUUGGUCAUCGAUCUAUCUUUUGACAUCAAAAUAUGUGUAAUAAUUAGAAUUGUUAAAAUAAUUCAAAUACAGUAUACAGUGGUAUAUGGACUUGGUCUGAGAAGUGAUGACAUUUACCAGAGAAACACACAAAUAUAAUUUUAAAAAUUUAACCUCUUGUAUGUGUUUUGUUUUGGUGUUUUUUUGUUGGGCUCAUCUUUUCCUAUUUCUUUUUUUCAAGUUUUUAUAUGAAAU
Rhinolophus ferrumequinum (greater horseshoe bat) is the source of this 1151-nucleotide long non-coding RNA. RefSeq lists it as uncharacterized. The transcript is spliced from 3 exons. NCBI's taxonomy places the organism in Eukaryota, Metazoa, Chordata, Mammalia, Chiroptera, Rhinolophidae. The record is from RefSeq and is a predicted model, not a curated record.